CCCUUAGAUGUCCUGGGCUGCACGCGCGCUACACUGAUGUGUCCAGUAAGCACCUAACCUCUUCCGAAAGGAACGGGUAACCUUUGCAAAGCACAUCGUGAUGGGGAUAGAUUAUUGCAAUUAUUAGUCUUGAACGAGGAAUUCCUAGUAAGCGCGAGUCAUAAGCUCGCGUUGAUUACGUCCCUGCCCUUUGUACACACCGCCCGUCGCUACUACCGAUUGAACGGUUUAGUGAGGGCCUCGGAUUGGUCUCGGCCCGCUCUUUACCGGGCGGCGCCGUUGGUCGAGAAGACGCUCGAACUUGAUCGUUUAGAGGAAGGAGAAGUCGUAACA
Molecule: ribosomal RNA, 333 nt
Filed under: uncultured eukaryote
Lineage: Eukaryota
Description: partial 18S ribosomal RNA
Rfam family: Eukaryotic small subunit ribosomal RNA
Source: RNAcentral